AGCGAACGCUGGCGGCAGGCUUAACACAUGCAAGUCGAGCGGACCUUUCGGGGUCAGCGGCGGACGGGUGAGUAACGCGUGGGAACGUGCCUUCCGGUUCGGAAUAACCCUGGGAAACUAGGGCUAAUACCGGGUACGCCCUUAUGGGGAAAGGUUUACUGCCGGAAGAUCGGCCCGCGUCUGAUUAGCUAGUUGGUGGGGUAACGGCCUACCAAGGCGACGAUCAGUAGCUGGUCUGAGAGGAUGAUCAGCCACACUGGGACUGAGACACGGCCCAGACUCCUACGGGAGGCAGCAGUGGGGAAUAUUGGACAAUGGGCGCAAGCCUGAUCCAGCCAUGCCGCGUGAGUGAUGAAGGCCUUAGGGUUGUAAAGCUCUUUUAUCCGGGACGAUAAUGACGGUACCGGAGGAAUAAGCCCCGGCUAACUUCGUGCCAGCAGCCGCGGUAAUACGAAGGGGGCUAGCGUUGCUCGGAAUCACUGGGCGUAAAGGGCGCGUAGGCGGCGUUUUAAGUCGGGGGUGAAAGCCUGUGGCUCAACCACAGAAUGGCCUUCGAUACUGGGACGCUUGAGUAUGGUAGAGGUUGGUGGAACUGCGAGUGUAGAGGUGAAAUUCGUAGAUAUUCGCAAGAACACCGGUGGCGAAGGCGGCCAACUGGACCAUUACUGACGCUGAGGCGCGAAAGCGUGGGGAGCAAACAGG
This 702-nucleotide ribosomal RNA is filed under the name uncultured Methylobacterium sp. RNAcentral's name for it is "bacterial SSU rRNA". It matches the Rfam family "Bacterial small subunit ribosomal RNA", at positions 28 to 776 of the family's 1533-position model. Lineage: Bacteria; Pseudomonadati; Pseudomonadota; Alphaproteobacteria; Hyphomicrobiales; Methylobacteriaceae. The record is from RNAcentral.